This is a non-coding RNA of Pelodiscus sinensis (Chinese soft-shelled turtle), 1228 nucleotides long. The record is from RefSeq and is a predicted model, not a curated record. Lineage: Eukaryota; Metazoa; Chordata; Testudines; Trionychidae.
GCCCUUCCCUGUCAGGGACAGUCAAGGCGUUAGGGCUGAAGCUGCUGUGCGUCCCUGCUGCUGUUUAUCACUUUUGGAAUCCGCCUGUUACAUCACGCAAGGACACACACCCUCUGCAGUGUCUGCGGGGGGUAUUUAGAAAUUCUGCUAAACCACAGCUUUACAAAAGUUCCACCUGCUAAUCCCUUGAAGACAAGAUGCUUAUGGGAAGGAAGAGAAGUCAAGUCUGCUCCGUGGAGAAAAAUUAGCUUUAGAUCCUGAAAGAAAUCUGUGAACAAGUGCUUAGAUUCCUUUUCAUAAUUGUGUAUUCAGUGAUGGUGGACCCUCACAAAUGAGAUGGACAACCCUCCCAUUUUGAGUUCUAAAAUAAAGUCAAGGAGGUUAUGAAUCGGAGAAGUCUGAGGGAUGAUCUGCCUCUGCUCACAACAAGAGGAAAAAGCUUCCAUUGUGCAAGCUCUCUCUUCAGGUGCUGCCUCUGGUUGUCUUCCUGUGACCUUUGGUUAUCUGACUCAGCUGCAGGCCAGAGUCUUCAGAGUGCUGCGACAUGGACAUGUGACUGGAGACCAAUCACACUGCCACAGUUUUGAGGCACAGAUUUACAGGAAUACCCUGAGUCAGCCUUUGCCAUACGACUCUGUUAAUUGAAAGCCUUCAGUAAUAUUUGAGGUAAGCCAAAUGAUGUCCAAUAUAAACCUUCUCCCAUGUAGUAUUUUGUGCAAUCCCACCAUGUAGCACAUUGCAGGGAAAAUGGCUAACACACACACACACACAGGAGCUGUCCAACUGAUCAGAAAAAGAAAACAAAAUGUAUCAUGAGAAAUAUUAAGAAUGUUAAUUAUUCACGUUAUAACAAAUAUGCUGGAGCGGAUUGUUUAUGACUACCUGGUGAAAUGAAUUCCAUACAAAAAAAAUCCAUCCACCUUGAAAGGAUGAUAUUGUUGUAAAGGAAAGCACCCCAAAGUAAGGAAAUGCAGAAUCUACCUUAAUGCUGGCAACUUUAAGUUUGCUUCCCUCUGCAUAAACAUUAAGAACAGGUCUUUAAUUAUAUAAUCAUAUUUUAUUUUCAACAGGACCCUUAAGAAAGAAUAUCAAUCUCCUGCAGAGAAUUUUCCCUUGUAAGGACUUGGAACAAAUAUUUUAUAGUAAUAUGAUCAACAAGUCAAUUACAGGUUAUGUAGAAAAGCAUUCCUUUCAUCAGUUUUAAAUGGAUUGCUUUCGUUUUACAGUG